RNAcentral lists this ribosomal RNA (254 nucleotides) under uncultured bacterium. Its description in RNAcentral is "partial 16S ribosomal RNA". It matches the Rfam family "Bacterial small subunit ribosomal RNA", at positions 524 to 776 of the family's 1533-position model. The record is from RNAcentral.
UACGUAGGGGGCGAGCGUUGUCCGGAUUUAUUGGGCGUAAAGAGCUCGUAGGCGGUUUGGCAAGUCGGGUGUGAAAACUCCGGGCUCAACUCGGAGACGCCACUCGAUACUGCUAUGACUCGAGUCCGGUAGGGGAGUGCGGAAUUCCUGGUGUAGCGGUGAAAUGCGCAGAUAUCAGGAAGAACACCCGUGGCUAAGGCGGCUCUCUAGUACGGUACUGACGCUGAGACGCGAAAGCGUGGGGAGCGAACAGG